GAUUAACGCUGGCGGCGUGCAUAACACAUGCAAGUCGAACGAUGAAACUUUAAUGAACCCUUCGGGGAGAAUUAAAGCGGAUUAGUGGCGAACGGGUGAGUAACGCGUGAGUAACCUGCCUUACACAAGGGGAUAGCCUUUGGAAACGAAGAAUAAUACCCUAUAAAACCAUAAAAGCACAUGCAAUUAUGGUCAAAGUGAUAGCGGUGUAAGAUGGACUUGCGUCUGAUUAGCUAGUUGGUGAGAUAAAAGCCCACCAAGGCAACGAUCAGUAGCCGGCUUGAGAGAGUGUACGGCCCCAUUGGGACUGAGACACGGCCCAGACUCCUACGGGAGGCAGCAAUGGGGAAUUUUGCACAAUGGGGGAAACCCUGAUGCAGCGACGCCGCGUGAUUUAGAAGGCCUUCGGGUUGUAAAAAUCUUUUGUAUAGGAAGAAAAUGACAGUACUAUACGAAUAAGGUCCGGCUAAUUACGUG
RNAcentral lists this ribosomal RNA (477 nucleotides) under uncultured bacterium. Its description in RNAcentral is "partial 16S ribosomal RNA". It matches the Rfam family "Bacterial small subunit ribosomal RNA", at positions 28 to 507 of the family's 1533-position model. The record is from RNAcentral.